RNAcentral lists this ribosomal RNA (427 nucleotides) under uncultured bacterium. RNAcentral describes it as "bacterial SSU rRNA". It matches the Rfam family "Bacterial small subunit ribosomal RNA", at positions 353 to 796 of the family's 1533-position model. The record is from RNAcentral.
AGUGGGAAUAUUGCACAAUGGGCGAAAGCCUGAUGCAGCGACGCCGCGUGAGGGAUGAAGGCCUUCGGGUUGUAAACCUCUGUUGAUGGGAAAGAAGCUCUGACGGUACCCAUCGAGGAAGCCCCGGCUAACUCCGUGCCAGCAGCCGCGGUAAUACGGAGGGGGCAAGCGUUGUCCGGAUUUACUGGGCGUAAAGAGCGCGUAGGUGGUCCGCUCAGUCGGCUGUGAAAUCGCUGGGCCUAACCCAGCUGGGUCAGUCGAUACUGGUGGACUUGAGGCCGGGAGAGGGAAGCGGAAUUGCUGGUGUAGCGGUGGAAUGCGUAGAUAUCAGCAAGAACACCGGUGGCGAAGGCGGCUUCCUGGACCGGCCCUGACGCUGAGGCGCGAAAGCUAGGGGAGCGAACGGGAUUAGAUACCCCGGUAGUCC